AAGUCGUAACAAGGUUUCCGUAGGUGAACCUGCGGAAGGAUCAUUAUCGAGUCUUGAAAGGAGGUUGUCGCUGGCCUUUUGCGAGGCAAUGUGCACGCCGCCGCUCAUUCCAACUCACACACCUGUGCACCUCUUGUAGGUCGGUUUUGCUUGGGUUUCGCGACCCUCGCCAGCCUUCCUAUGUCUUUGCAAACACCUGUCUGUAACAGAAUGUAUCUGCGAAAACAAACGCAUAAAUAUAACUUUCAGCAACGGAUCUCUUGGCUCUC
This 269-nucleotide unclassified non-coding RNA is filed under the name air metagenome. Its description in RNAcentral is "partial contains small subunit ribosomal RNA, internal transcribed spacer 1, and 5.8S ribosomal RNA". The stretch from base 1 to 46 matches the Rfam family "Eukaryotic small subunit ribosomal RNA", at positions 1786 to 1831 of the family's 1831-position model. The record is from RNAcentral.